UGGGGCUGUGGCUCAGUAGUAGAGUGCUUGUCUCGAAUAUGUGAGGCACUGGGUUCGAUCCUCAGCACCACAA
This 73-nucleotide transfer RNA is filed under the name Marmota monax (woodchuck). RNAcentral describes it as "tRNA.Ser". Lineage: Eukaryota; Metazoa; Chordata; Mammalia; Rodentia; Sciuridae. The record is from RNAcentral.